RNAcentral lists this non-coding RNA (204 nucleotides) under Dialister succinatiphilus. RNAcentral's name for it is "T-box sequence". It matches the Rfam family "T-box leader". From Rfam's summary of the family: Uncharged tRNA acts as the effector for transcription antitermination of genes in the T-box leader family. Lineage: Bacteria; Bacillati; Bacillota; Negativicutes; Veillonellales; Veillonellaceae. The record is from RNAcentral.
ACAAAAGCGUUGACAGGAAGCAUUAAAAAUCCCUACUUGCUUGCAGAGAGUCAUUGGAUGGUGAAAAAUGACAGAAGCGGAUUUUGAACUCGUCCCUGAGCUGCAGUGCUGAACAGGUAGGCACUGACGGAAUCUGACCGUUAUCAGCAUGAGUGCAUGCCUUUGGCGUGAAUAAGAGUGGUACCGCGAGUCUUCGUCUCUUUG